Molecule: ribosomal RNA, 358 nt
Filed under: uncultured bacterium
Lineage: Bacteria
Description: bacterial SSU rRNA
Rfam family: Bacterial small subunit ribosomal RNA
Source: RNAcentral
AGAGUUUGAUCCUGGCUCAGGAUGAACGCUAGCUACAGGCUUAACACAUGCAAGUCGAGGGGAAACGAUAUUGGUAGGCUUGCUUCCGAUAGGCGUCGACCGGCGCACGGGUGAGUAACACGUAUCCAACCUGCCGAUAACUCGGGGAUAGCCUUUCGAAAGAAAGAUUAAUACCCGAUGGUAUAAUCAGACCGCAUGGUCUUGUUAUUAAAGAAUUUCGGUUAUCGAUGGGGGAUGCGUUCCAUUAGGCAGUUGGUGAGGUAACGGCUCACCAAACCUUCGAUGGAUAGGGGUUCUGAGAGGAAGGUCCCCCCACAUUGGAACUGAGACACGGUCCAAACUCCUACGGGAGGCAGCA